AAGAGUACAAAAAAGUUAGCUGCUAACUAAACUUAAGAGCGGUUAAAAUCCGUUCAACUCUUA
Molecule: transfer RNA, 63 nt
Filed under: Entylia carinata
Lineage: Eukaryota; Metazoa; Arthropoda; Insecta; Hemiptera; Membracidae
Description: tRNA-Ser
Source: RNAcentral